CCGUGCGCUGCUAUACAUGCAGUCGAGCGGACAGAUGGGAGCUUGCUCCCUGAUGUUAGCGGCGGACGGGUGAGUAACACGUGGGUAACCUGCCUGUAAGACUGGGAUAACUCCGGGAAACCGGGGCUAAUACCGGAUGGUUGUUUGAACCGCAUGGUUCAAACAUAAAAGGUGGCUUCGGCUACCACUUACAGAUGGACCCGCGGCGCAUUAGCUAGUUGGUGAGGUAACGGCUCACCAAGGCAACGAUGCGUAGCCGACCUGAGAGGGUGAUCGGCCACACUGGGACUGAGACACGGCCCAGACUCCUACGGGAGGCAGCAGUAGGGAAUCUUCCGCAAUGGACGAAAGUCUGACGGAGCAACGCCGCGUGAGUGAUGAAGGUUUUCGGAUCGUAAAGCUCUGUUGUUAGGGAAGAACAAGUACCGUUCGAAUAGGGCGGUACCUUGACGGUACCUAACCAGAGAGCCACGGCUAACUACGUGCCAGCAGCCGCGGUAAUACGUAGGUGGCAAGCGUUGUCCGGAAUUAUUGGGCGUAAAGGGCUCGCAGGCGGUUUCUUAAGUCUGAUGUGAAAGCCCCCGGCUCAACCGGGGAGGGUCAUUGGAAACUGGGGAACUUGAGUGCAGAAGAGGAGAGUGGAAUUCCACGUGUAGCGGUGAAAUGCGUAGAGAUGUGGAGGAACACCAGUGGCGAAGGCGACUCUCUGGUCUGUAACUGACGCUGAGGAGCGAAAGCGUGGGGAGCGAACAGGAUUAGAUACCCUCUGAGACUG
This 775-nucleotide ribosomal RNA is filed under the name Bacillus subtilis. RNAcentral's name for it is "bacterial SSU rRNA". It matches the Rfam family "Bacterial small subunit ribosomal RNA", at positions 40 to 797 of the family's 1533-position model. Lineage: Bacteria; Bacillati; Bacillota; Bacilli; Caryophanales; Bacillaceae. The record is from RNAcentral.